Molecule: ribosomal RNA, 468 nt
Filed under: uncultured bacterium
Lineage: Bacteria
Description: partial 16S ribosomal RNA
Rfam family: Bacterial small subunit ribosomal RNA
Source: RNAcentral
GACGAACGCUGGCGGCGUGCUUAACACAUGCAAGUCGAACGGAAAGGCCCUGCUUUUGUGGGGUGCUCGAGUGGCGAACGGGUGAGUAACACUUGAGUAACCUGCCCUUGACUUUGGGAUAACUUCAGGAAACUGGGGCUAAUACCGGAUAGGAGCUCCUGCUGCAUGGUGGGGGUUGGAAAGUUUCGGCGGUUGGGGAUGGACUCGCGGCUUAUCAGCUUGUUGGUGGGGUAGUGGCUUACCAAGGCUUUGACGGGUAGCCGGCCUGAGAGGGGGACCGGCCACAUUGGGACUGAGAUACGGCCCAGACUCCUACGGGAGGCAGCAGUGGGGAAUAUUGCACAAUGGGCGGAAGCCUGAUGCAGCAACGCCGCGUGCGGGAUGACGGCCUUCGGGUUGUAAACCGCUUUCGCCUGUGACGAAGCGUGAGUGACGGUAAUGGGUAAAGAAGCACCGGCUAACUACGUG